GGAGAUGUAGCAUAGAUGGUAAAAGGUUUGCUUAGUAUGCGAGAGGUCACAGGUUCGAUCCCUCAUGUUUUUA
Molecule: non-coding RNA, 73 nt
Organism: Zostera marina
Lineage: Eukaryota; Viridiplantae; Streptophyta; Magnoliopsida; Alismatales; Zosteraceae
Source: the annotation of a GenBank genome assembly